GCCGACGUAGCUCAAUGGUAGAGCAACUCUCUUGUAAAGAGUAGGUUGUCGGUUCGACUCCGACCGUCGGCU
RNAcentral lists this transfer RNA (72 nucleotides) under Anaerolineae bacterium. RNAcentral's name for it is "tRNA-Thr". It matches the Rfam family "tRNA". Rfam says of the family: Transfer RNA (tRNA) molecules are approximately 80 nucleotides in length. Lineage: Bacteria; Bacillati; Chloroflexota; Anaerolineae. RNAcentral also lists the same sequence under 1 other name. The record is from RNAcentral.